RNAcentral lists this ribosomal RNA (429 nucleotides) under Bacteroidota bacterium. Its description in RNAcentral is "Bacteroidetes bacterium partial 16S ribosomal RNA". It matches the Rfam family "Bacterial small subunit ribosomal RNA", at positions 355 to 776 of the family's 1533-position model. The record is from RNAcentral. Lineage: Bacteria; Pseudomonadati; Bacteroidota.
UAGGGAAUCUUCGGCAAUGGGGGGAACCCUGACCGAGCAACGCCGCGUGAGUGAAGAAGGUUUUCGGAUCGUAAAGCUCUGUUGUUAAGGAAGAACGAGUGUGAGAAUGGAAAGUUCAUGCUGUGACGGUACUUAACCAGAAAGGGACGGCUAACUACGUGCCAGCAGCCGCGGUGAUACGUAGGUCCCGAGCGUUGUCCGGAUUUAUUGGGCGUAAAGCGAGCGCAGGCGGUUAGAAAAGUCUGAAGUGAAAGGCAGUGGCUCAACCAUUGUAGGCUUUGGAAACUGUUUAACUUGAGUGCAGAAGGGGAGAGUGGAAUUCCAUGUGUAGCGGUGAAAUGCGUAGAUAUAUGGAGGAACACCGGUGGCGAAAGCGGCUCUCUGGUCUGUAACUGACGCUGAGGCUCGAAAGCGUGGGGAGCGAACAGG